UCUCUAUUGUGUAGUACGAAAAAAACAGAUUCUAAGCCGUAAGCUGAAACCAUCGCUGGAGUAACUUACCCAGCUUGUGAUCUGAUCGAUACUUUAGAGAACAUAUCCUAUUCCUCAUGGCCUUAUCAAUGAGACUGUGCAUUUGUUUUGUUGAUGUCCUGCCUCUUUUGAUGUCUCCUUCCAUUCCGCUCCCUCCAUAUGUGGUAUACUACCGUCUGAAACAAUAGCCUCACUAGACAAGAAUCAACCCUAGCCCU
Molecule: long non-coding RNA, 257 nt
Filed under: Brassica napus (rape)
Lineage: Eukaryota; Viridiplantae; Streptophyta; Magnoliopsida; Brassicales; Brassicaceae
Description: long non-coding RNA (BNAP_LNC018568)
Source: RNAcentral